This 1034-nucleotide long non-coding RNA is filed under the name Coturnix japonica (Japanese quail). RNAcentral describes it as "lncRNA (ENSCJPG00005008210.1)". Lineage: Eukaryota; Metazoa; Chordata; Aves; Galliformes; Phasianidae. The record is from RNAcentral.
GCGGGUGGCCAGGGUCGGCCCGGGUUCUCCUGCGGGCCGUGGAGCGGCAUGCAACGUCCGCGUUAAACGCUCGCUGCCCCGCCGCGCUCCGUCCGGCCCGGUGACGCGCUGCGCCCGCUCCCUUCGUUCCCGGCUCGGUCACCGUAGGAUGCGGGGUUGUGCCGGUCCCGGCCCGUUGGCGGCUGACAUCGGCGCGGUGCCACAUCGCUGCGAGGCCGAAGUUAGCGAGCACCCAGCCGCGGGGUGGGGGCGGCUUGUGAGCAAAGUUUGUGUUCCAUCAGGCUGUAGCGGUGAGCAUCACACAGCUUAGCAUCGUGUAUCGUACAAAAUCGGCAAAGUUUUCUGUCGUCGUGUUUCUGUGUACAACCUUUAGUCUACGUGAAGUACUUGCGUUGGGGUAAUAUGGUCGUUAUAAACUGACAAGUCAUGGUGGUAAUGAAAAACAAACUGUCCAUCCAAGCAGGCUGCCAUCAGUGCUGUAGAACUCUGGCCCUUUAAGUGAGAUCUCACCUACAGUCACGUUCUGAUUUUUUGCCUUCCCUCCCUCCUAGCACGUAAUUUCAUUAUGAAGGUUGUGUCAUGGAACUUCGCUUUGAGACUCGUGGGGAAUGAACACGCACCAGAUUUUAGGAAGAAGCCAUUUCGUGCUGUGUGGCUUAAUGAAUUUACACACGGACAAAUGCUUGGAGAGCAGGUGACCAGAGCCGUAGGAAGAAGAAGCCCUGUUGACAUGAAGCAUCCUUGUGAAGCUAAUUAUCGGAGCAGCCAUUGAUUGGAGCAGGAGCAUCAGCAACUGAAUUAACAGGAUGUUGAACAACAGUGGCAGUGCCUUCCACUUUAAAAUAACAGUGCUGAGUUUCAGUAUGGACACUUGGGUUUCCAGGGGAGUUUUGGAUGGGAUGGUUUGUGCUUACACUUGUAUGUGUUUGCACAACCUACUUGUGCACAACCUUUCUAUUUGUAGAGACUUCUGCAGAAAACAAGUAGAAAGAGAAUAAGAAUCUUCUUGAUAAUAAAGCAUAUGAAUGCUUACA